GGUUAAGCGACUAAGCGUACACGGUGGAUGCCCUGGCAGUCAGAGGCGAUGAAGGACGUGCUAAUCUGCGAAAAGCGCCGGCGAGGUGAUAUGAACCCUUGACCCGGCGAUGUCCGAAUGGGGAAACCCAGUGCAAUCCGUUGCACUAUCGUUAACUGAAUACAUAGGUUAACGAGGCGAACCGGGGGAACUGAAACAUCUAAGUACCCCGAGGAAAAGAAAUCAACCGAGAUUCCCCCAGUAGCGGCGAGCGAACGGGGAGCAGCCCGGAGUCUGAAUCAGCUUGUGUGUUAGUGGAACGGUCUGGAAAGUCCGACGGUACAGGGUGAUAGUCCCGUACACGAAAAUGCACAUGCUGUGAACUCGAAGAGUAGGGCGGGACACGUGGUAUCCUGUCUGAAUAUGGGGGGACCAUCCUCCAAGGCUAAAUACUCCUGACUGACCGAUAGUGAACCAGUACCGUGAGGGAAAGGCGAAAAGAACCCCGGCGAGGGGAGUGAAAAAGAACCUGAAACCGUGUACGUACAAGCAGUGGGAGCCUCUUUAUGGGGUGACUGCGUACCUUUUGUAUAAUGGGUCAGCGACUUAUAUUCUGUAGCAAGGUUAACCGUAUAGGGGAGCCGAAGGGAAACCGAGUCUUAACUGGGCGUUAAGUUGCAGGGUAUAGACCCGAAACCCGGUGAUCUAGCCAUGGGCAGGUUGAAGGUUGGGUAACACUAACUGGAGGACCGAACCGACUAAUGUUGAAAAAUUAGCGGAUGACCUGUGGCUGGGGGUGAAAGGCCAAUCAAACCGGGAGAUAGCUGGUUCUCCCCGAAAGCUAUUUAGGUAGCGCCUCGUGAACUCAUCUUCGGGGGUAGAGCACUGUUUCGGCUAGGGGGCCAUCCCGGCUUACCAACCCGAUGCAAACUACGAAUACCGAAGAAUGUUAUCACGGGAGACACACGGCGGGUGCUAACGUCCGUCGUGAAGAGGGAAACAACCCAGACCGCCAGCUAAGGUCCCAAAGUCAUGGUUAAGUGGGAAACGAUGUGGGAAGGCACAGACAGCCAGGAUGUUGGCUUAGAAGCAGCCAUCAUUUAAAGAAAGCGUAAUAGCUCACUGGUCGAGUCGGCCUGCGCGGAAGAUGUAACGGGGCUAAACCAUGCACCGAAGCUGCGGCAGCGACGCUUAUGCGUUGUUGGGUAGGGGAGCGUUCUGUAAGCCGUUGAAGGUGUGCUGUGAGGCAUGCUGGAGGUAUCAGAAGUGCGAAUGCUGACAUAAGUAACGAUAAAGCGGGUGAAAAGCCCGCUCGCCGGAAGACCAAGGGUUCCUGUCCAACGUUAAUCGGGGCAGGGUGAGUCGACCCCUAAGGCGAGGCCGAAAGGCGUAGUCGAUGGGAAACAGGUUAAUAUUCCUGUACUUGGUGUUACUGCGAAGGGGGGACGGAGAAGGCUAUGUCAGCCGGGCGACGGUUGUCCCGGUUUAAGCAUGUAGGCGGAGGUUCCAGGUAAAUCCGGUACCUUUUUAACGCUGAGGUGUGAUGACGAGGCACUACGGUGCUGAAGUGAUAAAUGCCCUGCUUCCAGGAAAAGCCUCUAAGCAUCAGGUAACACGAAAUCGUACCCCAAACCGACACAGGUGGUCAGGUAGAGAAUACCAAGGCGCUUGAGAGAACUCGGGUGAAGGAACUAGGCAAAAUGGUGCCGUAACUUCGGGAGAAGGCACGCUGAUAUGUAGGUGAAGCCCCUGCGGGCGGAGCUGAAAUCAGUCGAAGAUACCAGCUGGCUGCAACUGUUUAUUAAAAACACAGCACUGUGCAAACACGAAAGUGGACGUAUACGGUGUGACGCCUGCCCGGUGCCGGAAGGUUAAUUGAUGGGGUUAGCGGCAACGCGAAGCUCUUGAUCGAAGCCCCGGUAAACGGCGGCCGUAACUAUAACGGUCCUAAGGUAGCGAAAUUCCUUGUCGGGUAAGUUCCGACCUGCACGAAUGGCGUAAUGAUGGCCAGGCUGUCUCCACCCGAGACUCAGUGAAAUUGAACUCGCUGUGAAGAUGCAGUGUACCCGCGGCAAGACGGAAAGACCCCGUGAACCUUUACUAUAGCUUGACACUGAACACUGGUCCUUGAUGUGUAGGAUAGGUGGGAGGCUUUGAAGCGUGGACGCCAGUCUGCGUGGAGCCAACCUUGAAAUACCACCCUUUAAUGGCUGGUGUUCUAACGUGGACCCGUAAUCCGGGUUGCGGACAGUGUCUGGUGGGUAGUUUGACUGGGGCGGUCUCCUCCCAAAGAGUAACGGAGGAGCACGAAGGUUGGCUAAUCCUGGUCGGACAUCAGGAGGUUAGUGCAAUGGCAUAAGCCAGCUUGACUGCGAGCGUGACGGCGCGAGCAGGUGCGAAAGCAGGUCAUAGUGAUCCGGUGGUUCUGAAUGGAAGGGCCAUCGCUCAACGGAUAAAAGGUACUCCGGGGAUAACAGGCUGAUACCGCCCAAGAGUUCAUAUCGACGGCGGUGUUUGGCACCUCGAUGUCGGCUCAUCACAUCCUGGGGCUGAAGUAGGUCCCAAGGGUAUGGCUGUUCGCCAUUUAAAGUGGUACGCGAGCUGGGUUUAGAACGUCGUGAGACAGUUCGGUCCCUAUCUGCCGUGGGCGCUGGAGAAUUGAGGGGGGCUGCUCCUAGUACGAGAGGACCGGAGUGGACGCAUCACUGGUGUUCGGGUUGUCAUGCCAAUGGCACUGCCCGGUAGCUAAAUGCGGAAGAGAUAAGUGCUGAAAGCAUCUAAGCACGAAACUUGCCCCGAGAUGAGUUCUCCCUGAGACCUUGAGUCUCCUGAAGGAACGUUGAAGACGACGACGUUGAUAGGUCGGGUGUGUAAGCGCAGCGAUGCGUUGAGCUAACCGAUACUAAUGAACCGUGAGGCUUAACCUU
This 2906-nucleotide ribosomal RNA is filed under the name Enterobacter hormaechei. RNAcentral's name for it is "23S ribosomal RNA". It matches the Rfam family "Bacterial large subunit ribosomal RNA". The record is from RNAcentral. Lineage: Bacteria; Pseudomonadati; Pseudomonadota; Gammaproteobacteria; Enterobacterales; Enterobacteriaceae.